Molecule: long non-coding RNA, 448 nt
Filed under: Prunus dulcis (almond)
Lineage: Eukaryota; Viridiplantae; Streptophyta; Magnoliopsida; Rosales; Rosaceae
Description: sRNA ncRNA
Source: RNAcentral
CAAAGACACAGAUAUCCCAACUAAAAAUCAAUCAGUGAGACAAUGGCUGGAACUGGAACCAAUGAUAUUAAAAUUAAAGGGUUCGAUUUGAGCAACAACAGCGGCAACACGUCGGGAUUAACCCACUUCGCCAACAGAGCUGAUGGGGGCGACAAGGGCGACAAUAAAAUCGAGGUUGAGGGUGCUAAAGCGCAAGAUAACAAGGGAAACUUGAAAGUACUUACCGAUUUCGCCCAACGCGGUGAAGUGGGCAGGUCGGAUCGCCAAGAACUACUCAAGCCUCAGGCAUGAAAUUGAAGAAGGCCAUACCAUAUAUGUGCUGAAUUAUCUACACAAAAAUAAGAGCUGAUGUUUUAUCUGAGGCUCCUUCCUUGGUUAGGCCUCGUUAUCAUGUGUAAUAUUAAUAUUAUUAUUCUAAUAAAAUAAUGGCAGCUUAUUAUUAAAUAUA